GGGGAUUUCCCCAACUCCUUCAUAAAUAUAAAAGUGUGUUCUUGAUCAGAUUCUCUUAAUCUACCCCUUUCUUAGUCUCUAAUCUCUUAAUCUCUCUAAGUCUCUUUGUUUCUGAUUCAAGUUCAUACUAGUUUCAUCACACCUCUUAUUCAACUAGUUCAAGACCUUAUCAUUGCCUUUAAUGGCUUUUCUUACACAUACACAGCCAGAGCUCUCAAAUCUCAUAGUGAUCAUCCGUACAAGGUAAAAGGGGUCAAAGUAACUAUCCAAGUAACUCCCAUGUACUGAGCUUAAGUUACACUCGGC
Molecule: long non-coding RNA, 306 nt
Filed under: Brassica rapa (field mustard)
Lineage: Eukaryota; Viridiplantae; Streptophyta; Magnoliopsida; Brassicales; Brassicaceae
Description: long non-coding RNA (BRAP_LNC008095)
Source: RNAcentral